UACGUAGGGGGCAAGCGUUGUCCGGAAUCACUGGGCGUAAAGGGUGCGUAGGCGGGUCUUUAAGUCAGGGGUGAAAUCCUGGAGCUCAACUCCAGAACUGCCUUUGAUACUGAAGAUCUUGAGUUCGGGAGAGGUGAGUGGAACUGCGAGUGUAGAGGUGAAAUUCGUAGAUAUUCGCAGAACACCAGUGGCGAAGGCGGCUCACUGGCCCGAUACUGACGCUGAGGCACGAAAGCGUGGGGAGCAAACAGG
Molecule: ribosomal RNA, 252 nt
Filed under: uncultured bacterium
Lineage: Bacteria
Description: partial 16S ribosomal RNA
Rfam family: Bacterial small subunit ribosomal RNA
Source: RNAcentral